RNAcentral lists this ribosomal RNA (448 nucleotides) under uncultured bacterium. Its description in RNAcentral is "SSU rRNA". It matches the Rfam family "Bacterial small subunit ribosomal RNA", at positions 26 to 518 of the family's 1533-position model. The record is from RNAcentral.
AGGAUGAACGCUGGCGGUGUGCCUAAUACAUGCAAGUCGAACGAGACCUUCGGGUCGAGUGGCGGACGGGUGAGUAACACGUUGGUACCUACCCCGAAGUGGGAAUAACUGCCCGAAAGGGUGGCUAAUACCGCAUAAUACCGCAAGGUUAAAGCGAGUAAUCGCGCUUCGGGAGGGGCCUGCGUCCCAUUAGCUAGUUGGUAGGGUAAUGGCCUACCAAGGCGACGAUGGGUAGCUGGAUCGAGAGGUUGACCAGCCACACUGGGACUGAGAUACGGCCCAGACUCCUACGGGAGGCAGCAGUAAGGAAUCUUCCACAAUGGACGAAAGUCUGAUGGAGCAACACCGCGUGCAGGAUGACGGUCUUCGGAUUGUAAACUGCUUUUAUAUGGAAGAUUAUGACGGUACCAUAUGAAUAAGGACCGGCUAACUACGUGCCAGCAGCCGC